This 120-nucleotide ribosomal RNA is filed under the name uncultured bacterium. RNAcentral describes it as "partial 16S ribosomal RNA". It matches the Rfam family "Bacterial small subunit ribosomal RNA", at positions 32 to 144 of the family's 1533-position model. The record is from RNAcentral.
AAUCAACGCUGGCGGCGUGCCUCAGACAUGCAAGUCGAACGAUUAAGACUUCCUUCGGGAAGUGCAUAAAGUGGCGCACGGGUGAGUAACACGUAAGUAAUCUACCUUCGAGUGGGGAAU